Molecule: ribosomal RNA, 684 nt
Filed under: fungal endophyte
Lineage: Eukaryota; Fungi
Description: eukaryotic LSU rRNA
Rfam family: 5.8S ribosomal RNA (bases 180-333)
Source: RNAcentral
CGGAGGGAUCAUUAACGAGUUCCAUUCUCCUUAAUACACCCGUGAACGUUUCUUCAACUGUUCGUUGCUUCGGCGGGCGGCCCCGGGGAGGGGCCGCAGCCCGCAAGGGCGCCCGCCGGCGGCAGCGCAGCACAACUCUUGCGAUUUAGGCCCCUCUGAGAAGACACUAAAUGAGUCAAAACUUUCAACAACGGAUCUCUUGGUUCUGGCAUCGAUGAAGAACGCAGCGAAAUGCGAUAAGUAAUGUGAAUUGCAGAACUCAGCGAAUCAUCGAAUCUUUGAACGCACAUUGCGCCCGCCGGCAUUCCGGCGGGCAUGCCUGUUCGAGCGUCAUUUCAACCCUCGAGCCCUGCUCGGUGUUGGGGCCCCGCGGCCGCCGCGGGCCCUGAAAAGAAGUGGCGGGCGCGCCUGGACCCGCAGCGCAGUAAUACACCUCGCUCGCGGCGUCCCGGCGCGUGCCGGCCGUAAAACCCCUUUAUCUCAAGGUUGACCUCGGAUCAGGUAGGAAUACCCGCUGAACUUAAGCAUAUCAAUAAGCGGAGGAAAAGAAACCAACAGGGAUUGCCCUAGUAACGGCGAGUGAAGCGGCAACAGCUCAAAUUUGAAAUCUGGCCUCGGCCCGAGUUGUAAUUUGCAGAGGAUGCUUCUGGCGCGGUGCCUUCCGAGUCCCCUGGAACGGGGCGC